This 331-nucleotide ribosomal RNA is filed under the name uncultured eukaryote. RNAcentral's name for it is "partial 18S ribosomal RNA". It matches the Rfam family "Eukaryotic small subunit ribosomal RNA", at positions 1470 to 1796 of the family's 1831-position model. The record is from RNAcentral.
CCCUUAGAUGUUCUGGGCCGCACGCGCGCUACACUGACGAAGUCAGCGAGCAUGUCCUACGCCGACAGGUGCGGGGAAUCUUUUCAAACUUCGUCGUGAUGGGGAUUGAUUUUUGAAAUUCUUGAUCAUAAACGAGGAAUUCCUAGUAAGCGCAAGUCAGCAGCUUGCGUUGAUUACGUCCCUGCCCUUUGUACACACCGCCCGUCGCUACUACCGAUUGAAUGGUUUAGUGAGAUCUUCGGAUUGGCGCCACUGCAGCUCAGCAAUGGGCUUGGUGGAUGCCGAAAAGUUGAUCAAACUUGAUCAUUUAGAGGAAGUAAAAGUCGUAACA